Molecule: transfer RNA, 85 nt
Organism: Candidatus Omnitrophus sp.
Lineage: Bacteria; Pseudomonadati; Candidatus Omnitrophota
Rfam family: tRNA
About the family: Transfer RNA (tRNA) molecules are approximately 80 nucleotides in length. Their secondary structure includes four short double-helical elements and three loops (D, anti-codon, and T loops).
Source: Rfam
GGAGAGGUGGCAGAGCGGUUGAAUGCGGCGGUCUCGAAAACCGUUGUGCCUCCGGGUACCGGGAGUUCGAAUCUCCCCCUCUCCG